Molecule: ribosomal RNA, 450 nt
Filed under: uncultured bacterium
Lineage: Bacteria
Description: bacterial SSU rRNA
Rfam family: Bacterial small subunit ribosomal RNA
Source: RNAcentral
GUGGGGAAUAUUGGACAAUGGGGGAAACCCUGAUCCAGCGACGCCGCGUGGGUGAAGAAGGCCUGCGGGUUGUAAAGCCCUUUCGGUGAGGAAGAAAAGUUGCGACCUAACACGUCGCGACCUUGACGUAACUCAUUAAAGAAGCACCGGCUAACUCUGUGCCAGCAGCCGCGGUAAUACAGAGGGUGCGAGCGUUAAUCGGAAUUACUGGGCGUAAAGCGCGCGUAGGCGGCUUUGCAAGUCGGGUGUGAAAUCCCCAGGCCUAACCUGGGAACUGCAUUCGAGACUGCAUAGCUAGAGUAUCGGAGAGGGAAGUGGAAUUUCAGGUGUAGCGGUGAAAUGCGUAGAUAUCUGAAGGAACAUCAGUGGCGAAAGCGACUUCCUGGACGAAUACUGACGCUCAUGUGCGAAAGCGUGGGGAGCAAACAGGAUUAGAUACCCUAGUAGUCC